Long non-coding RNA from Gallus gallus (chicken), 1169 nucleotides. NCBI's taxonomy places the organism in Eukaryota, Metazoa, Chordata, Aves, Galliformes, Phasianidae. The record is from Ensembl.
CUUGUACUGAAGUGAGGCAAAUUCCUCUCCAAGUGUUGCAGAGACCAGAAACCCAGAAAGUAAGAUUUAAUUGCACUGAAGAAAAAAAGCUGUGCUUCCUGUAAAUCUCAAUCGCUACUGAGGAGAGUCAAUACAUUUUUAAUCAAACUUCAUCACUGAUUUUGCACUGAUCACUGAAAUGCAGAAACAUGACAUUUACUACCAUGUUUGCCAUCCAGACCACAUCAGUCAUGUGGUCUCACAGCCAUAUUCCUUGAUAUUGCUGGCUGCUUUUCCAUCAUAUGCUAAUUACACAGUCAUGUAUAGGUUAGGAAGCUCCAUGGUUCCUCAAUAUGGAAGGAUCUGCAUUGCUAGUCCAAUAUAAUCUUGUUGACCUUGAACACCUGAAUCAUCUCAAUUCUACCAUAGCCAGGUGAAUAUAUCACAGACAUCCACAGGUAGAUCCUGCACAACAGCUUCAGUUUCAAUGAAUAUUCUUGAGAAAUAUUUCCACAGAACACUAACUGUUCAACGUUUCUUGACAGAAGACACUUCGUGAGACAAUUUCUCAAGAGCUCUGACUAUGGAAUCUUUAAGAAAGAAAAGCAGCUCUGGAUAAUCCUGCCUGAUUGCCUCUGAUUAAUGCUAACAUCAUACACUGAAAGCAUUGUUAGAUAAGAGCAUAGAAGACCUUGAAGUAGUCUAUUGCAAAAUAGGUACUGACGCUUUAACGGUACAUCUAAUUUCAGUCGGUUUUAUGGAGACCUACUCAACAAGCUAAGAAUUUACAAACCUCAAGUUUCUUGGAUUUUGGAAGAAACCUUCUCAAGGCAGCUACUACACAGCCAAAGUUCAAAUGCGUGCCUGAAGUAUGUGCAGCAGCAGCUUAGCUAUGGCUGUAACAGAAGUCACAGCUGCUAUAGUGAUCUGAGCCCAAAUAGCACUGCACUUCAAGGAAACAGUAAUCCAUGUAACAGUUAACGCCAGUAGGAUCUGACUGCACGUACAACAUUGUCUUAAGGCCUGUGGUGAAUUGUGUCUCUUUUCCCUUGCUGCAGAAUGAACUUGGUGGGCUUGCUGUAACACGUGAACUUGUACCCAGCUCCCGCUCAGUACCAGCGAUGACACAGCCUGCAUCUCUUGCCUUUAUCAAACUGUACAGCAACACGUUCUCAUGGGAACAUCACUUU